Acinonyx jubatus (cheetah) is the source of this 12321-nucleotide long non-coding RNA. RefSeq lists it as uncharacterized. NCBI's taxonomy places the organism in Eukaryota, Metazoa, Chordata, Mammalia, Carnivora, Felidae. The transcript has 2 exons. The record is from RefSeq and is a predicted model, not a curated record.
UAUAUAUAUAUGACAUAUAUAAAUAUAUAGUCAUUGAGAAACAGCAUACAAAUGUAAAUCAGAAUUUUAAAGCUUAGUUAUAGCAGUUAUUCAAUUUUUAGAAACUCUCAAAGUUCAUUACAUGCCCAAAAUCACUGUAAUCUAUUGUCAAAAUUAUUUGUGAUCUAUCAGCUAAUAGGUCCUUCUUCAUAAUUGUUGAAAACAAACAAUUUGAAACAAUUUGACUCAUAUACAGAUUUGUUACUCAGCUGUUACAGUAAUUCAUUUUGUCAGUUUCUGAGAAGUAUGCCAGAAAAUGAUUACUUACUCAAAGAGUAUGACAAUAUCUAAAGUUCUUAUUGUGUAUAUUGUCAAAUAGCUUCUUAGGAAAUACUUCUAUCAAUGGCAGUCAAGUGAUAAUGUCUUCUCACUAUUACUAUUUUCUCUUAACAUUCAUUAAUUUGAUGGGUGAAGAAAUUACAUUUCACUGCUUUAAUUUGCAUUUUGUGGGUAAUUAUGCCCCUAAUUAUAUUUCAUAUGUUUAUUAGUGAAUUCAUAAAACCAGAAAAGGAAUCUCUAUAGUCUAUAUUGUGUUCAUAUUUGUUCAUAUUUGUGUAUUGAAUGAGUAUAAAUGUAUAGCAAAUAUUUAAUAUAAAUGUUAUAAAAGAGCACCUGGCCCAUAGUUAGUCACACAAAUGUCAUUCAGCAAUGGCAUCAUCAUCAUCAUCAGUGGAAAAUGUUUUUCUUAGUUUUUAAAUAAUUUGAUUUUUUUAAAUAUGAAACUUGAUUUUUUUCCAUAUUUUUUAUUUAGGUAUUCCAGAGUUCUUGUGAACUGGGAGACCAUUAUUUAAUAAAGAAGGCUUGUGUUUAGAAUAAUACUGAUUCUCAUCAUCUCCUUUAAUUUGUUGACUUAAGUGUAGGAGUUGCUAGAGAAAAGGGACUUCAGUCAUUUUUCAUUCAAUUUGAGGUUUCCUGACUCUCAGUUGUUUUGUACAAAGUUAGACAGUAUUUAAAACGGGGCAUCCUAUAUCAAAAUAUAUAUAAGUAAGCUCAUUCAUAGGAGUGAAACUCAAAGUUUAAUCACUGGUGUGGCGCGGGCACUGACCCAUCGGAAUGGACGUGGUAUUUCACUGUGGACCUGGUUUGCACUGGUCCAGUUUAUAGCAAAUGGAAAUUAUGGUAAAUAAGGGUUAAGAGGCAUUUGAGUAUUGGGAAACUGGCAUAUAUAUUUGAGAUGUAAAAGUGGUUUCUCAAACUUUUAUACCAACAUGUGUUUAAGUACAAGGUAUAUCUAAGUGCAAUUUUUAUGGAAUUGUCAGUCAUUGGGUUAGGGAACAUAUGGAGGCAAUAAUAAAGAUUAAGGAAAAUGAGCUUUUCUAGGUAGAGAAGUACAAUGACUAAGAUUCCAGAGGUACGUGGUUAGUGAAUAAAAAUAUAACAAAACAAAUAAACAAACACCAAAUGAACUUUCACUCCCAGGACACAGAUGAUUGUUUAGGAAUGAGGAUCCUUUGGCAUCUGAUCUCACACUGUAAGAACUUGCAAAUCUCCGGGUGGAUGCAAAGGUAGCAGAUGACCUCCAAGGAUGGUAAGUACAAAAACAAAGAUUUGGAAGAAACGUUAAUUCAAAUUUAAAAUGUAAAGUGUAUUAUUCUGGGUUUGAACCUAAAGUAGAAACUUGGCGGACACUGUGUAGAUUGUUCCAUGGAGACAAAGACCCAGUGACCUGUUGUGGCCAAAAAACACUGAGGAGCUAGGCUUAUCAAAAAAAGUAAAAAACAAAACAAAAAAACAAAAACAAAAAACAUGAGGUACCUGGGUGGCUCAGUUGGUUAAUCUUCCAACUUUAGCUCUGGUCAUGAUCUCAUGGUUCAUGGGUUCGAGCUCCACAUCGGACUCUGUGCUGAUAGCUCAGAGCCUGGAGUCUGCUUCAGAUUCUGUGUCUCCCUCUCUUUCUCUCUGUCCCUCCCCCACUCAUGCUCUAUCUCUUUCUCCUUCUCUAAAGUGAAUAAACAUCAAAAAUCUUUGAAAAAAAUGCAAAAUACAAAAAAACCCAGCAGAGACCAUAUUCCACGGAACUAUGGUAAACGAACUCCUAUGUGAAGUCUGGGUACAGCAGUACCAUUAUUUGUGCUUUGUAAAUUGUACACAUUGUGUAGUGAAUAUUAGCUAUGAUGAUGGCAGUGGUGAUGAUGUCAUUUUGAUGUAACCAGAGCAGGUCUACACUAGGGCUUGUAGUGACAGCAUCCUCCAUGGAAAAGAUCAUGAUUCUCCAGCUCCAGGGUGUGAAGACCAAGGGGUGAAAGCAUUACAAAUCGUUAAGUUGUGUGAACUGUGGGUUGGUGAACGGGAAGUGAGCAUUAAGCUAAGUGUUAAAGUAGAUAAGGCAUCCCGGAAUGAGAUUGUCAGCACAUUAGAGCAGAGGCGUUUUUCUCUCGUCUGGUGUCUGCAGUGUUUAAUGCAUUAAUUGGCAAAUGGUAGGUGCUCAGUGAAUGUUUGUGUCUCAUAAGCACCUAGAGCUUAUGCAUGUGUAAUAUAGGUAGGAUUCUGAAAAGAAUUCAAAGAAGACUGGCAGGUUUAGUCACAACAGAGGCUUAAUUAGCCUAAGGAAGCUGGUAUCUUUGUCUUAUUUAAAGCUGUCAUCAGGGAAGAUGUCCCUGUCACCCUAUUAGGCAUUUGGCAGGACUCUGGGUCAGGUGAUGGGAGGCAUUGUCCUCAAGUGGCCAUUUUGCUAUUAAAUUCAUUUAUUGUUUUUGCCCUUAGGUAUAGGCAAUGUACUCAAAUAUCAAUAAGAUACAGACUGUUCCCGAAACAAAUAAUAAUGCUGUUAUUAGCAUUUAUUGGGUACUUACUUUGUACCAGGCAAUGUGUCAUGUGUUUUGUAUACAUUGCCGUUUAAUUUUCACACUACAUCUAAGAAGAUGAUAUUUUUAUCUCCUGUUUUGCCAGUGAGGAACCUUCUCCAACAAAGCUAAGUGGCCGCAUCAGGAUUCAACUGACGGCAAAGCACAUACCAUUCACAAUGGGCCAUAAUGUCAACAACGUAAUCCAGGAAGUAAAACCAAAGUGCUCAAGUAGUGGGUGACUUGAGAGGAUAAAGAAGAGGCAUCCUCUUGAGUUGGUGUAUGGGAGGCCAAGAGUGUCACGCUCAGUACCUCCAAGGGCCUGGAGCUCUGCAGAUGAGUGAUUGCUCGUGGCUAGCUGUCAUUCUGCAUUUAUGAGUUGAUAUGUCAACUGGGACUGAUUCGAGCAUAGAGCACUGCUGAUCUUUUUUAAGGUAAUAAUGCUAUGAUUUCAAAAGGCCUGGCCAGGAUUUAAAGAGACUCAAAAUACCUCACACCACGGUGCCGUGACAAAUAUGCCAAUAUCCUCAUAUGUUUCCUGGUAAGGAAUCAGCACCAACCAGGGAAGCCCCGCUCUGAACAUCUCCAACUAGGUUCAUCUUAUCGCGUUUACUAAGAUCUGUGUCUUUUAAGCUUACCAUAGCACAAUAUCACUUAAAAUCUAUGAAUCUGAGCAUGUAUCCUGACCAGUUCCCCAAGUGCAGUCUUGAAGGCUGUGUCUGAUUUGUUUCCCAACAGGUAGAUCUUAGAAACAGGGCAUUCCACCCUGAGGAAAUCACGAGAAACCCCAGAGAAAGGAGGUGGAAGGAAUGGCAAAACGUGAUGCAGUUGUGUGCAGGGAAGAGGAGAGAAAGAGAGGGGAAAGCCGGAAGUCCCAGGGGCGAUUUUGUUUCCCCUUGUUUCGCUGUUACUGAAAUCCGGGACCCAACAUUCUCUCUGAACUGGGAAUCAUCUCCUAUCUCCUUUAGCAAAAGGUAUGUACAGACAUGUCUUCUGGACCUAAUAAGAUUGUGCAGAGGCUAGCUACUGUCCCACUGUGCUUAUGUCACAAGGGUUUUUAAAUAGCUUGUGUCACGUGUAAUCGAUACCUUAUUUCCUUUCAAGCAGUAUCUGUAAUUUUGUGGUAGGAAUGGAUAGCUAGAGUCGGAUUCAGUGUCGCAGCGCUGGUAGCCAGCACAGCCUAUAUGCCCAACUUACUGCUUUAGAUGUGUUUUCGUUGGAUCAUCGCAACAGGCACAUGAGGUUGAUCAGAAUAUGAUCUUUGUUUUCAGAGAAGGAAUCUCAGAUCAGUGUAACAGCCAGCCACUGGCCCCUAGAUGACUGCACAUUCUCCCAAGUGGUCUUUUCACAUGUCCUCUUGCUCUCGCUUUCUUUUUCCACGUUAUUGCAAGAGUGAUAGGCUUUAAAAUGUAAAUCUCAUCAGGCCACUGCCCUGUGUAAGUCCCCUCAGUGGUUUCCAAUUUCCCUUGGAACCAGGUCCCGGAAUCCUUAACGUGGCUUAGGAGAGUUGUCAUCUCUCACCUCUGAUCAAAUUCUCAGCCUCCUAUCUUACGUCUUUACUCAAAACUUGGCUAACCCACUUCUGUUGGGUUUCUUUCUGAACUCCACUAUAUGCCUAUUCAAGUAGAAAUUGUAUUGUUUCUCUUUCAAGUUAUCUGGAAAAAAAGAAAGAGAGAGAGAGCAUGCGCCUGCCUAUCCCUUAUUGUGCCCGAUACACUGAUGCACUGGCAAAUAUACUAGUUUUAUCACAGCUCUUCAGCUUUUGCCCAGUUAUGCUGUGCUUCACAAACGAACCCAGAAAACCAUUUUCCACGUGUGGUAGGCUGAGGUAUGGCCUCCCAAAGAUGUUCACAUUGUAAUCCUCAGGACUUGUGAAUGUCACUUCAUACAGCGAAAACCCUUUGCAGAUGUGCUUAAAUUGAGAUGGGGAGAUUAUCCUGGAUUAUCUGGAUUGGCCUGAUGUAUCACAGGGUCUUUUGUAAGAGGCAGGAAAUGGAAGCAAGUGGUAGAUGUGACAACAGAAGCAAGAGGUUGGAGCGAGGACGAAGGGGCUAAGAGCCAAAGAAUACAGGCAACCUCUAGAAGCCAGAAAAGGCAAGGAAACUGCUUCUCCCUGAACCCUCCAGAAGGAACACAGCAGUGCUGGCACCUUGGUCUUAGACAUUUGAUCUCCAGUGCAGUAAGAGAAUAAAUUCGUGUUGUCUUGUGGUACUAAAUUUAUGGUAAUUUGUUGGAGUAGCAGUAGGAAACUAACACACCACACACACACACACAACUUUCCAGGGUCUUCCUAACUGAGAAACUGAAAGCAUUCAUCCAACAAAUAUCUACUAAGUACCAGACACUCUGCUUUGGAUGUUGCCCUCGUGGUCUUUAUAUAAUAAUAGAGGGAGACAGAAAACAAACAAUCCAUACCAUGUUGGAAUCAUAAGUGCUAUGUAUUUAGAGAAAGAAAAAGGAACAGGAGGAGAAUUGUAAUUGUAAAUGAGGUGGUCAGUGUGGGACUCAUUAAAGAAAUGAGUUAUGUGAAGAAGUUAGAUAUAGGGACAUAUGGAAGGGCAUUCUCCAGGCAGAUAGACAAAGGCCAGGACAAACACCAGGAAAAGGGAUAUGCCUGGCAUGCUUGUGGAAUGAUAAAAAGCCAGCGUGGCUGAGGCAAAGUGAGCCAGAGUGGAGUAGUAGGUUAAUGAGGUCAGAGAGAUAAUAAUAGUGCCGCCGGUUCAUAGAAGGUAUUUCUUUGGAUAAAGUGGGUUAGUACUGAAGCAUUUUGGACGGAGCCAUAAGAUGCACUAAAACAGGUUUUUGAAAGAAACACUCUGUGGCUGUUUUGAAAGUAAAUCAGAGUUGGGGGUGGGGGAUGGAGAUAACAAGGAUGAAAGCAGAGACACGAGGGGGAGGGUUAUGUUAAUAACCUGGGCAAGAGAUACUGUUGGCUGUGUUACCUGUGGGAUCACCGAGAAAUGGUAAGGUUCUAGAUGUACUUUCAAAGGUGGGGCCAAUAAGAUUUCCUGGCAGGAUGGAUAUGGAAAUGUAAUUCCAAUAUUUCUUGUCUAAUCAAAGGGGGAAUGGAAUACUAAUCCACUCUGGCUCACUUUGCCUCAGCCACACUGGCUUUUUAUUAUUCCACAAACAUGCCAGGCAUAUCCCUUCCCCAUUAGCAAGAAUGGGGAAACUGAAUGGGUGGGCCUGAAGGCAGAGAUCAGGAGUUCAGUUUGAGGCAGGCUAAGUUUGAGUCCAGUUAGACAUCCAAGUGGAGGUCAGGAGUGGCACUUGGAUGUUAAAUUCUGUCCUUCAAGAGAGGUGUGGACAGGGGAUAUUUAUUUGGGAAUUGACAGCAUGUAGAUGGCAUUUCAACGAUGAAGCGAAUGAGAGGCAAAGGUGAUGGAGGCAGGCUAGGGGAUGUGCAGAGGCUAGCCCAUGCAGAUUAGAGUACAAGAAAUGAGGGCUGGGGCACCUUGGCGGCUCAGUCAGUUGAGCGUCCGACUCGAUUUUCGCUCAGGUCGUGAUCUCAGGGUCAUGGGAUCAAGCCCCACGUUGGGCUCUGCAUUGAGUGUGGAGCCUGCUUAAGAUUCUCUCUCUCCUCCUCAGCCCCUCUCCCUUGCUCGUGCUCUCUUCUCUCUCUAAAAAAAUAAAAAAAAUAAAUAAGAAAUGAGAGGUGAUUGGGGAGUCUAAAUUAGAAAUGAUUGCAACUUGUGUAAGAAAAAAUAAUAUAGGUGACCUUAGAAAACUAGCUGUCUAUUUUUACAUACAGGGAGGUAUUAAUUUUCUGUAAAAAAACCCAUAUUUUUACAUCAAAUCUUCUGGUUCUUUUUCUAGUUAAGUCUAACCAAAUGCAGCGAGUCCACUUAAGUAUCAAUACUUGCAUUUAUUUUUCUUAUGCUUACAACAGUAAUAUCAUUUUCCAGAGCCCCAUAAAUCUCCAUACGUUAUCAUGAAAGAUAUCUCUUCCUUAAGAAAUGAAAAAUCAGGGACGCCUGGCUGGCUCAGUCAAUAGAGGAUGGGACUCUUGAUCUCGAGGUAUUGAGUUCAAGCCCCAUGUCGGCUGUAGAACGUAGUUUAAAAAAAAAAGUGAAAAAUCAGUAUGAUGUCUAGAAACAGGAAUGACUUUGUGGUUUGGGAAAUGGGAUUCCCAAAUGCAUGUGGUGUAGUCUCCCCUCUCAUCUGACAGGUUGGUCUGCUCUGCUCUUUUGCUGGAAUUGGAUGUUAGCACUUAUCAGGUGUUUGCUACUUUAUAUUUCUUGAAAUCCUUUCAUAUAUGAUCUCAUUUAUUCCUCACAAUAAUCUUAGGAAGCAGAUAAUGUUGUUCUCAUUUAUAGAUAAAGAACCUUAGGCCCAAAGAGGCAAAACGAUUUAUCCAAGGUCACUAGCAAAUUUUGGACUUGACUCAAACUUAGAACCACUAGUUCUUUUCCUACUUCAUUAAGAUGCAAGAGACUCUUUAUUUUGUAAGGUGUUUUUUUGUUUUGUUUUGGAAUGUCAGCUGAGGGUAAGAAGGAAGGUAAAGGCAUCGUUUGGGUUUGUUAGAAAUGGUCUACUAGCUAUUAAAAAGCUGUAUAAGGUUGUAUAAAGUCUAAAGAAGAUUAGCGUAUUACAAGUUUCUUAUAAGAAAUUACUCUUCUUAAUUCUUGCGUGCUUCUCUCUUUGCAAAGAUUACUCGACCUAUAGGACAUAAACGUUGCUUGAUUGUUCCAAAGCUGCCCUGAGAUUGGUCAUAAUCGGGAAGCAUCAUGUAAUGGCUAUUGAAGACUAGCUGUGUGCCCUGCCUCACUAAAAUGGGGCUUGCAAAUCAUCUCCAUUAUUCCAUUUUGGCUGAAAGUUCCUAUCACUCUUCUCUCCUAUGUUUUCUAAAGUUUGUACUAUGUAACUAUGGAUUCAAAAGCAGUAUCUUAGGAAUUCUUAGAUAGAUUUUGAGUACUGUGAGAAGGAGUGGUGAUAGACUUACAAGUGGGUGAUACCUUUAUUGUUAUAAACAAGUCGGCCUGGAGGUAGGCUUCUAACCUGAUUAUUUGCUGCACUGAUGAAAGUUUGGCUUGAUGAGAACAAAGAGAGGGACUGCCUUAGAGUACUGAAAGAAAGGGGAGGCUUUGGGGAACAAAAGGACAGGACAGAUACAGAGAGGCCUGGUGACUGGGAAUCCAAUAUGUGGAAAGCAUCAAAGAAUAACUCCAGAAGGAGGUGGGAAUAUGAAAAUGAUGCUUACUAAUAAGGUACACAUGUCAGUGGAGAUGAAAUACACACCCCAAAUGACAGCAUCUAGGUAUAUUUAGUUAAAUGCUUCCAUAUGAAAGAAAUAAGAUGUCAGAGUUUGGUGACAAUGUGAUUCAGGAAUGACCAUUAAAGAGAACAAUUUGGUAGAAGUGAGGUGGAGGAGGGAGGAGCUCAGAGAGAGUUAAGAUUGAGUGUUACCUGAUAACCUGUUCCAACUCCUACUCCUCCCCCGCCCCCCACACAAUGUCUAUAUGUUUUCAGAGAAUACCAUUGGUUUAGCAUAAUAAAUAUGCCAAAUCUAAAUAAAGUAGGAUAUUCCUGAAAGCAUUAAAUGGGCACUUUAUGGAGCCCAUUUACAGUCACCAAGGAGCCCACAUUGGUUUUAUUGUUUUUCCUAGGUUUAUCUAUGACUGAAAAUGAUAGAAAACUGAUAUUUACUUAGGUUAAGUUGGAAGGUAGUGGAAGAAGAUAAUAGUAGGCAAUUCACAUUUGUAUUAAAAGUUUAUUCUCUCGUAAGGAACAGGAAACCAACGUUUUAAGAAGCUUGAAAUCUAAUAUUUUGGGAGAACACUAAUUUAGGAAUUAGAAGACAGCUUAUUCCUGCUCAUUAGCUUGAUGAUAUUGAGCAAGUCAUUGGAUCUUAUUUUGUUCAUCUGUAAGAUGGGGCUAAUAACACUGUAUCAAUGAGUCCACCCACUCAACAGACAUUUCCUGGGCAACCACACUGUAUACCCAGGCCCUGUGCUAGCCUUUGAGGGUACAGAGUAGUCUCUGCCCACAAGGACUUCAGGGUUGACUGAAUGAUAGGAUUGUUGUAAGGAGUAACUAGGAUUAUGAGAUGCAUAUAACAACUGUAUACACAUGGUAAGGCACUAUAUAAAUGUAAGAUAGUAUUAUUUGUGUCAGAGAACAUUCAUUAAGCACUGAACGUGAUAGGCCUUGUACAGAACAUAGUAUUAAACCAUUGUAUGAGAGCUGUAGUCUUACUUUGCUCCUAGUUUUUCUUUCUGUUAAAUGUUUGCGUUUCUAAGCCUAACUUCCUUGAAAACAAAGACAUUCUAAGAAGCAAUUAGAAUUUCACACCCACACCAUGCCUUUUUAUUUAUUAGCUUUCUUUCUUUUUCUAUUGUUUUGAAAAUACUGAAGCCCAAGGAGAGACUCUGCCAGAAGGAAGUGCCAGGCAAGUGUUACAGCUGCCACAUACAGAAUGGCAGAAAUUCACAAGCAAAAUGCAACUGUGGGUAUAUUUUGAAGGUAGAACAAAUAGGAUUUUUCUGGUGGGUUCAAUACCAAGUGUGAGAGAUAUAAAAGAUUUAAGCGUGGUUCCAAAGAUUUUGGCUUGGGAAUCUAGGAGGAUAUGUUUGCCAUCAUUUAACACAGGGAAGCCUUCAAGGAGAGAAGGUGGGGAAUAGAGUGGUAGAGAUCAUAUGUUUCAGUUUGGAAUAAGCUAUAUUUGAGAUGUCUGUUAUCUUCCAAGUGGAGAUUAGUGAGGCCAUUAAGACACGUGAAUCUGAAAUUCAGGGGAGAGGUCUGGAUUGAAGGUGUAAAUUUGAGUCAUCAGCAUCUUUAUAGCCAUAUGAGUAUGGAUUGAAAAGCGAUUCCAGCCAGAAAUAGACCCAGAGCAUUCCAGCUUUUAAGAAGUCAAGGGAAAUGAAACCAAAAGAUAGGAAGGAAAUCCAGAGAAUGACACCCUAAAACCAUAUGGAAAAGUGUAACAACUGUGUUACCCUAUCAGAUGUAACCUAUCAAAUGUUGUUAACAAGGGGAGGACUGACAAUUGACUCUGAAUUUAGCAACAUGAAGAUCAUUGAUGAUCUUGACAACAGGGGAUUCCAUAGAAUGGCAGGGAGAAAAGCUGGAUUGAAGAGGGUUUAAGAAAGAUAAGAAGGAGGAGAAUUAGAGGAGAUAUGUGAAAACACUUUCAGGGAGCUUUGCUUAUAAAGAAGGUAAGAGAUAUGGGUGAUAGCUGACAAGAGGAGUGGGGCCAAGGGAAAGUCUCUCUCUCUCUCUCUCUCUCUCUCUCUCUCUCUCUCUUAAAUGGGAGAAGUAACAGAAAAGAAAUGGCCAAGUAAAGGGGAAGUUGAUGUUGCAGGUGUGUGUGGAGGGAUUAUUGGAGACAUAUUCUCUAGCAAUGAAUUGAAAAGUGUUACAGUCAUCAAAUGAGGAGGGCCUAAGACCCAGACAACUCUACUAUGUAAGCAAGCCAAAACCUAAGCCGGAGCCAGUUCCUGUAAAUGCCUCAGGGUUAAGAACAACCACUCACAAACAGCUAACUUCGCUUUCCCAAAUAACGCAGACACUUGUGCUAUAGUCAGCCAAAUAAUUUCCUUGCUUCGCCUGUGUUCUCUAUAAUAAAAUCCUUGCCUGUGGCUCUGCUUGGGAGUGCUCGUCCAUUUCCAGUGUGCCACUGUUCAAGUGGAGUUGAUGUUUGUUCAAAUAAACUCCUAAAAAUUUUAAUAUGCCUCAGCUCAUCUUCUAACAGAAAGAAUGGAUUGUAGUUCACAAAAUGGCUAGAUGGGAAGGAAUGGGAUGUAGUUCACAAAAUGAGGGAGUGGCUUUGGAGAGGUCCAUGGAUAUAUGUACAUGGAUAGAGAAGCAAGUGUUCCUUGGUAGUAGUAGGAGGGAAUUCAAUGGAUGUGAGUGCAGAUGCUGGCAAGUAGGUAGGUGGUGGUGGUAGUUCUUUGUCAUGAACUGAGAGAAGUUGGUAGGGUUAUUUUUCUGCAGCCAUGAAUAGCUGCAUGAGUACAGGGUUAAAUUAGGAAGUGAAGGAAGACUGAGAUUUCAGUAUAAUCAUAGUUUUGCCAAAGAAUACGACAAACACUAUAAACCCCCAAUUCCACUUCUAUGUAUAUACCCCAAAGAAUCGAAACAGAGUCUUGAAGGGAUAUUUGUACACCCAUGUUCACAGUGGCAUUAUUCACAAUAGUCGAAAGGUGGAAGCAACCCAAGUGUCCAUGGAUAGAUGAAUGGAUGAACCAAAUGUGGUACAUACAUGAAAUGGAAUAUUAUUCAGCCUUAAAAAUGGAGACUCUGACACAUACUACAACCUGGAUGAGCCUGAAGACACUGAGCCACGAGAAUAUGAGCACUAACUGAUUCCACCUGUAUGAGGUGGCUCUAAAAUAGAGAGCCCUAGAAUAGUCACAUGUAUAGAGACAAAGUAGAAUGGUAGUUGUCAGGGGCUGGGGAGAGAAGGAAAUGAGAAGUUAUUACUUAAGAGGCACCAAUACUAGGUCAGUUGGAACAGAGAACUGGCAAGCUGUGCUAUGAAGAACAGGGGACUUUUGAGAAAGCAGGGAGAAGAAACUACCACAGGAAGAAGUGCCCCUUUGAUGAGGGGCUGGAAUCUUUGUGAGGUUCUGCACCUGUUCACACAGCUUUCUCUUCUCCAUUCUGGUGGAAAUGGUUUCUACCGGGAGGACAACAGAAUGGCUGCUUUCUCUAACUCUCCCCGGCGGGGUGAGAGGAUUAGAUUAGCUAACUGAACAACCCUGUUCAAAGGGACUUGUAGAAAUGAAGUCUUGGGUAUAGGGAACCGGACGGUUAAUAGAAGGAGGAACCUAUCCCCAUCCAUGGAAAUAUGAGUCUGAAUGGGAUUAUUCAGAGGGCCCCAAAUGGGGGAAUAACCCAUCUGAAGUUGAUGAAGUGAAGUCACAUGAGGAACCAGGGCAGAACCUCAUCUCCUGUUGUCCUUUUUCAGAAAGAGCAGGUUUUUCUUAUUAUUUCCCCCAUAGCAGGCAACAGCAGCUCUUCUCUCCCAGGUCCCUAGUCUAAAAUUGGAGUAAUUUCCAUAUUGUUAUUCUUCGCUUUCAGUUACCAUCAUCCCCUCUGUGAGACUAUUUUAGUCCCUCUUCUGUUCCAGGGGCACUCACGUGUGUCUUAUAUAAGUGGUGCCUUUGGCAUUGGAUCAGGUGAGAUGCUUCCCUGUGGGUUCAUGGACAGACAGAGAAACAUAAAGAGCCUGAUGUGCCUGCGGUGAAUUUAACUGCAGGUCAACAAGAAUAUAGUGGACAAAAAAUAAAAUUUGAUUUCUAAGCACUGUUAAGGCCAAGCCUCAGUACAAUAUUUGUGUUGCAUUCAGGAACCAGAUUUUGUGCCAUCCUCUUGAAUGAAUUUCAAAUUUAAAAACACAGCUCUGCUCUGCACUUUUUGUGGCAUGCUUGUGAAACAGAGUCCAGUAGUGCCUUUCUAGUAUUGGACAGCAGUCCAUUGUUUACUUCAUAUUUAAUGCUUAGAUUUUAAUUUUUCAGAUGAAUCACUCUUUUUUAGCCAAGAUCAAAGUUACCCGACA